Molecule: small nucleolar RNA, 106 nt
Organism: Malania oleifera
Lineage: Eukaryota; Viridiplantae; Streptophyta; Magnoliopsida; Santalales; Ximeniaceae
Source: RefSeq, a predicted model, not a curated record
ACUUGAUGAAGUGUGCAUUCACAAAGUAGAUCCCUGAAACGCUCCCAUGUCUCAACAAAAAGUUCCUCAUCCGUUUGUGUGAAACUUGUGAUUACCCUUUGCAACU